CAGCCGCCACGGGAAUACGAAGGGUGCAAGCGUUAAUCGGAAUUACUGGGCGUAAAGCGUGCGUAGGCGGUUUGUUAAGUCUGUUGUGAAAUCCCCGGGCUCAACCUGGGAAUGGCAAUGGAUACUGGCAAGCUAGAGUGUGUCAGAGGAUGGUGGAAUUCCCGGUGUAGCGGUGAAAUGCGUAGAGAUCGGGAGGAACAUCAGUGGCGAAGGCGGCCAUCUGGGACAACACUGACGCUGAGGCACGAAAGCGUGGGGAGCAAACAGGAUUAGAUACCCCGGUAGUCCCUGUCUCUUAUAC
Molecule: ribosomal RNA, 301 nt
Filed under: uncultured bacterium
Lineage: Bacteria
Description: partial 16S ribosomal RNA
Rfam family: Bacterial small subunit ribosomal RNA
Source: RNAcentral